This 431-nucleotide ribosomal RNA is filed under the name uncultured bacterium. RNAcentral's name for it is "partial 16S ribosomal RNA". It matches the Rfam family "Bacterial small subunit ribosomal RNA", at positions 29 to 505 of the family's 1533-position model. The record is from RNAcentral.
AACGAACGCUGGCGGCAUGCCUAACACAUGCAAGUCGAACGAAGGCUUCGGCCUUAGUGGCGCACGGGUGCGUAACGCGUGGGAAUCUGCCCUUUGGUUCGGAAUAACAGCUGGAAACGGCUGCUAAUACCGGAUGAUGACGAAAGUCCAAAGAUUUAUCGCCAGAGGAUGAGCCCGCGUUGGAUUAGGUAGUUGGUGGGGUAAAGGCCUACCAAGCCGACGAUCCAUAGCUGGUCUGAGAGGAUGAUCAGCCACACUGGGACUGAGACACGGCCCAGACUCCUACGGGAGGCAGCAGUGGGGAAUAUUGGACAAUGGGCGCAAGCCUGAUCCAGCAAUGCCGCGUGAGUGAUGAAGGCCCUAGGGUUGUAAAGCUCUUUUACCCGGGAAGAUAAUGACUGUACCGGGAGAAUAAGCCCCGGCUAACUCCG